GAACAACGAGAAGGAGAAGAAGAGAAAAUUGAUAUAUGUAAAGUAUAUUGUUGUUUGUACGAUGAGUGAGUAAAGGGGAACAUAGAAGGAUACAUAUAUAGGAGAUAAAAGAGAGGAAAGAACAGAAAAACAAAAAACAAUAAAUGAGAAGCGGUGAAGCGGUGCGGUGCAGUGGAUUUAGUUGGAACAUUAUUUCUGACACCUCACAAGUAAGCCAAUGGUGGAAAUGGAGCAAGGUGAAAAUAAAGGAAGCAUGGAUAGGACUACAAUAGUAACGAAAAUGGCACUUAACUACUAUAGUGACAACGGAAAUCACACCUAACAAGUGGAGUGGCAACGAAGAAAAUGACACAUCACAUGUUAUCUAGCGGUGGAAAUGAAUCACAAAUAGAGCGUAAAAAGGUGAAAAUAGUGAAAGAAUGCAACAAAACACAAGUUUUCAAAGGUAGAGGAGAAGAAAAUGUGAAUUUUGUAGCGACACAAUGUAAUAGGAUCCCUUGUUAGGUAUGUAAAUUUUCAAAAAUUAACUUUACAAUUACAAUGAAAAUUUUGUAAUUAUUGGCCAACAAUAGGCAUCAAUUUUAAAAUAACCAAAG
Molecule: long non-coding RNA, 596 nt
Filed under: Vigna radiata
Lineage: Eukaryota; Viridiplantae; Streptophyta; Magnoliopsida; Fabales; Fabaceae
Description: long non-coding RNA (VRAD_LNC010986)
Source: RNAcentral